RNAcentral lists this ribosomal RNA (406 nucleotides) under uncultured bacterium. RNAcentral's name for it is "partial 16S ribosomal RNA". It matches the Rfam family "Bacterial small subunit ribosomal RNA", at positions 30 to 526 of the family's 1533-position model. The record is from RNAcentral.
AUUGAACGCUGGCGGCAGGCCUAACACAUGCAAGUCGAACGAGUGGCGGACGGGUGAGUAAUGUCUGGGAAACUGCCUGAUGGAGGGGGAUAACUACUGGAAACGGUAGCUAAUACCGCAUACCAUCGGAUGUGCCCAGAUGGGAUUAGCUAGUAGGUGGGGUAAAGGCUCACCUAGGCGACGAUCCCUAGCUGGUCUGAGAGGAUGACAAGCUACACGGGAACUGAGACACGGUCCAGACUCCUACGGUAGGCAGCAGUGGUGAAUAGUGCACAAUGGGCUCAAGCCUGAUGCAGCCAUGCCGCGUGUAUGAAGAAGGCCUUCGUGUUUUAAAGUACUUGCAGCGGGGAGGCGUUACCCUCAGAAGAAGCCCCGGCUAACUCCGUGCCAGCAGCCGCGGUAAUUC